This 433-nucleotide ribosomal RNA is filed under the name uncultured bacterium. Its description in RNAcentral is "partial 16S ribosomal RNA". It matches the Rfam family "Bacterial small subunit ribosomal RNA", at positions 29 to 507 of the family's 1533-position model. The record is from RNAcentral.
AACGAACGCUGGCGGCAGGCUUAACACAUGCAAGUCGAACGGAUCCUUCGGGAUUAGUGGCAGACGGGUGAGUAACGCGUGGGAACGUACCCUUUGCUACGGAAUAACUCAGGGAAACUUGAGCUAAUACCGUAUGUGCCCUACGGGGGAAAGAUUUAUCGGCAAAGGAUCGGCCCGCGUUGGAUUAGCUAGUUGGUGGGGUAAUGGCCUACCAAGGCGACGAUCCAUAGCUGGUCUGAGAGGAUGAUCAGCCACACUGGGACUGAGACACGGCCCAGACUCCUACGGGAGGCAGCAGUGGGGAAUAUUGGACAAGGGGCGCAAGCCUGAUCCAGCCAUGCCGCGUGAGUGAUGAAGGUCUUAGGAUUGUAAAGCUCUUUCACAGGUGAAGAUAAUGACGGUAGCCGGAGAAGAAGCCCCGGCUAACUUCGUG